Molecule: long non-coding RNA, 986 nt
Filed under: Homo sapiens (human)
Lineage: Eukaryota; Metazoa; Chordata; Mammalia; Primates; Hominidae
Description: long non-coding RNA NONHSAT033620.2
Source: RNAcentral
AAAAUAGUACACAAUCUCUGAUAACAAAAAAAGCAUUUAGGGUCAAAAGACAUCCAACAUACAUUGUAACAAUGCACACAUAUUAAUUAAAAAAAAGACCCAUGAAAUAAUUUUUAAAAAACUUUCAAAAGGAAAAAACUAUUUUGGCUUCCUUCUGCUGAAAUUCGCCUAUAAACAUACCACGCCAGCUAGACCAGCAUUCCCUUUCACGUGGUCUGUACAACAUAGUACUGCACAAUGUGAGCAAUUACUUUGAUGAACACAUUGUUUUUGAAUAAAAUUGUUGGUUCUGUAUGGAUGAUCCAGACAUAAAUCCAUGGUUCCAUUUCACAAAAAUAUUCAUAGGCUGGAAGAGCAGUGACAACCAUUUUCCAAAAUCUUCAGUUUUAACAAAAGGCGCAGAAUAAACUACUAAAUCUAGAUGUUUUCACAUUAUUUUGCAUGAGUGUCAAAUACUAUGUAAAAAUUAACGUAAAAUCUUAAGUUGGCCAAAACUAGUGUCUCUAAAGAUCAAAAUUCUUCACUCUUUUAGCAUGGCUGAUAAAUCUUUUCUGCCUUUGUCACUAAUGCUUGUCAAACCAAAGAACUUUGCAAAAGAAUAUGCACUGCUGAAGGAAGACAGUACCAAAAAUACCAUAUUGAACUUCGGUCUUAAGACACACACAGUUCCUGUUGGAUACUGGACUGUGAAAGUUUAUUAUCUUCAGUCUUUUCAUGUCCUGGAGCAUGGCAAGUAGUCUUCCGCUUAAAUAACCGAAGACUCAAUCGAAGUAAUUCAUUGUCUACCAUUGGAGCACUCGUGUAAGCUUGUUUUAUGGUUACCUUCUCAUUUUUAACAAGCUGCUUUCGAAUUGCAGAAUCCCGUCUGAAGCACAACGCCUUACAACAUGGGCCAAGAUUACUAAGAAGACUUGCUCUUUCUUCUUUUCGUAGUAAUGCAGCCAUAUUGAGAGCCCCCAAUUCAUGUUCAAAGAGAUUGUCUGCAU